CCCUGGCCCGAAUGCAGGGAGAAGAGGGCAGAUCAAAUCUAAAGCAGGAACAACUUGUCCUUCUUGUACCAGGCAGGGUACAAAAUUCGGAGCAGGGCAGUUUCCCUUGAGAAGAUUACCAGCAGGAGUGAAACCGCAAGGGCAGCCGGCUGGUUACUACUGGGCGUGCACUCCUUUUUCAACCUGCGAUUCAUUGAAUUGAAAGAAUUCUAACCCCUCCUACCAAGAUGAUUCAGCUAAACUGACUGGUUGGAUUCAUUCAAGUUUUGCAACCCAUCACCCUAACUGGGCAGAUACAAGUCCUCCCCAUCAUUUUACUAACAGCUGAGGAAAGAUGACUAGUUUCAGACAAAACCAAUGAAGAGGCUCAAAGUUUGCAUCAAAAAAAUCCAGGGGUGGUGCUGCACCCAGCAGAAGCUACACCAUUGGUCGAGCCAGGCUGGGAUCCCAACAAUGGAGGGUUCCCUCAUUUGGAGCGUUAUUGAAGAUAUAUUCUGGAAGGAUUAAAGAAGGGGUCCCCAAACAAAGAAGUUGACAUAUGGUGCAAGCAGUACAACCAAAAGCUAAUGGGAAUCCUUCUGAGUUUUUGGAUUGGAUAUAUCUAGCAUGUAGAGAACAUACUGAUUUGGACCCACAGGCUCCAGAAAACAUAAGGAUGGUGAAUAUGGCGUUUAUUUUGCAGAGUGCCCCUGAUGUUAGGAAGAGACUGUAGAAAUUAGAUGGGGCACUAGGGGUAAAUCCCCCUCAAUUGGUGGACACUGCCUUUAAGGUUUACAAUGGAAGGGAACAUUGCAAGGCAGGGGCAGGGACUGCCUCCCUUAAUCAGGUUUGAGGGAGAUCCUCUGAGGAAGCAGAAAAUCUCGGGGGGCAAAGGCAAAGCCCCUUAGAUCCUAACCAAGGUGCACAUUGUAAAGAAGAGGGCCAUUGGGAAAAUGAAUACCCUGAGAAAAAUAAAGGCAGGCCGGGGCCCCAGAAGACGCCUCCCUCAGCCAAACUAAUGGCAGGAAGGGACCCAGCGUCUGAUGGGGACUGAUGGACCCCAGGCGCUCCCUUGGAUCCUGGACAGCUUCUGAACACUGCCCCCCGCCCCCGGCCCUACCCCAGGAGCCCCACGUAAAACUAACAGUAGAGGGUCAACCAACUGAAUUCCUAGUAAACACAGUGCUUAAUCAAAGACUGAUAAAACCUACUGCUCAAACUGUCCCUGUGACUGGUGUCUCAGGCCAAAAUGAGACACAGCAUUUUCUGAAAGCUUUGGAAUGUACUAUGGUAAAUCAACACUUGCCUCAUACUGCUUUUGGGUAGAGACCUUUUCACGAAAUUGCAUGCUCGGAUUACUUUGGCUCCAGAGGAUCGGCAAGUGCAUCUCCAGGUCCCUGUGUAGCGCCCUGUGGCUGCAAACGCUUCUCGCUGCUUUGGUUUCUCCUCUGCAGCCUACCUUCCCUCCAGAGAUCAAGAACAGGUGUAUGGCAGCUGACCUGAUUUAAAGGAUGAACCUUGGUCUGACCCAGAUUGCACUCUGUGCGUGGAUGGCAGCAGCUACCUGGAGAGAGAUUACCGCCGUACCAUAACUGUAGCCCUGGACCAGGUGACUGCACAGAUGAGGUACAAGACAUUGAGAAACUUGGACAAGAUCCUCUGACAGCUUGGUUUCACUCACUACUAACAGUGGGGAUUCAUAGGGGAAAUACAAAUAAAAUCCUUUUCAGGGCCAGUUGUGUUUUCUCUCCAUUAUAGUCUUAGAUGAUCACUAACAGAAUAUGUAACCAAUUAAUCAAUGUAUAUGUUUAAGCUUAUGUUCUGGCUGAGAUUUUGUUGCAGUUCACAGUUGACUAGGAAAGAACAAAGGGACUUUUAACUCUUCCCUGAACCUACGUGUCCCAUCCCCAGGAAUGUGGAGACUGAUCGACUGUGCCCCGGAAACACCCAGAAACACUGGGAUGACCCGCACCAGACCACCGCCUGACUGGCUUGGAGAUCCCUAUCAGAAUGCUCACCAUCCUGUUCCAUUCAUCAGGGCCAAAACCCGCUCAAGGACUCAAACUCCAAGACUGCACACCACCAGAACCCCUUGUGUGUGUUCCUCUCCACGGUCCCUUCCCCUCCUUCUCUCAUGUGAACCUGCCCUGACAAGCUUGAGGAAAGGCGGGUAUGAGGGAUGUUACUCACCACCUUCUCAGGUUGCCCGCAUCUGAUAUUAAUAUUAAAAGCACAAUUAUAAUCCAA
This is a long non-coding RNA of Phyllostomus discolor (pale spear-nosed bat), 2226 nucleotides long. RefSeq lists it as uncharacterized. Lineage: Eukaryota; Metazoa; Chordata; Mammalia; Chiroptera; Phyllostomidae. The transcript has 2 exons. The record is from RefSeq and is a predicted model, not a curated record.